Molecule: ribosomal RNA, 301 nt
Filed under: uncultured bacterium
Lineage: Bacteria
Description: partial 16S ribosomal RNA
Rfam family: Bacterial small subunit ribosomal RNA
Source: RNAcentral
CAGCCGCCGCGGGAAUACAGAGGGUGCGAGCGUUAAUCGGAUUUACUGGGCGUAAAGCGUGCGUAGGCGGCUUUUUAAGUCGGAUGUGAAAUCCCUGAGCUUAACUUAGGAAUUGCAUUCGAUACUGGGAAGCUAGAGUAUGGGAGAGGAUGGUAGAAUUCCAGGUGUAGCGGUGAAAUGCGUAGAGAUCUGGAGGAAUACCGAUGGCGAAGGCAGCCAUCUGGCCUAAUACUGACGCUGAGGUACGAAAGCAUGGGGAGCAAACAGGAUUAGAUACCCCGGUAGUCCCUGUCUCUUAUAC